This 65-nucleotide transfer RNA is filed under the name Branchiostoma belcheri (Belcher's lancelet). RNAcentral's name for it is "tRNA-Thr". The record is from RNAcentral. Lineage: Eukaryota; Metazoa; Chordata; Leptocardii; Amphioxiformes; Branchiostomatidae.
GUUUUAGAAUACUAUUAUUAUCUUCGACUUACAAGACCGAUGCUUUCCUUUUAAGCUACGUAAAA